GCAUUGGUGGUGUAGCGGUAACAUUGGGUCUUCCCACAGUCAAGUAGCAACUGCAAAGUGGCCUAGCUCCGGGUUCGACUCCCGGCCAAUGCA
This is a non-coding RNA of Lyophyllum atratum, 93 nucleotides long. Lineage: Eukaryota; Fungi; Basidiomycota; Agaricomycetes; Agaricales; Lyophyllaceae. The record is from the annotation of a GenBank genome assembly.